CCUCUGACCAUUACUCCUCAAAAUUGUCAAGGUCAUCAAAAACAAGGAAAAGUCUAAGAAACUGUUACAGCCACGAGGAGCCUAAGGAGACAUGACUAAACGUUAUAUGGUAUCCUGCAACAGAAUGAAGACAUUAGGUUUACUGCUCAUCUUUCUCCACUCUGCUUUGUGCACAAUUUGCCAAACAAAUUGCAUCUUCCAGGCAACCUUGUCCUCUAGCUUCCGAUGUGUUCAAACAAAAGAAGAAAGCAGUUUUCAUGAAGAACAACCACAUAAAUUGGAUUCCGAAGAUGAGAUUAACAUAAAGUCUUUAACUUCCUUACUUUUAUUCCUUAAUAAAGAAUUAAGGAUAAGUACUAG
Molecule: long non-coding RNA, 360 nt
Organism: Zalophus californianus (California sea lion)
Lineage: Eukaryota; Metazoa; Chordata; Mammalia; Carnivora; Otariidae
Exons: 3
Source: RefSeq, a predicted model, not a curated record